Molecule: ribosomal RNA, 318 nt
Filed under: Triticum aestivum (bread wheat)
Lineage: Eukaryota; Viridiplantae; Streptophyta; Magnoliopsida; Poales; Poaceae
Description: partial small subunit ribosomal RNA
Source: RNAcentral
AUGGCGACUCCUUUCACCCUCUCAAAGGAUGGCAUCGAGAUGCAGUUUGCAACUAACCAUAUCGGGCAUUUUCUUUUGACACAUCUUCUGCUGGAGACCAUGAAGAAGACAUCUCGUGAAUCAAACGUGGAAGGAAGAAUUGUUAAUGUUUCGUCAGAGGGGCACAGGUUUGCAUACAAGGAAGGCAUCCGUUUUGCCAAACUGAAUGAUGAGGAAGAGUAUAGCACCAUCGCAGCAUAUGGGCAGUCAAAGCUUGCCAACAUUUUACACGCUAAUGAACUUGCCAGGAGAUUUAAGUUCUUUAUCACUAUGAGCUGA